GACGAACGCUGGCGGCGUGCUUAACACAUGCCAGUCGAACGAAGAGCGACGGAAGCUUGCUUCUAUCAAUCUUAGUGGCGAACGGGUGAGUAACGCGUAAUCAACCUGCCCUUCAGAGGGGGACAACAGUUGGAAACGACUGCUCAUACCGCAUACGAUCUAACCUCGGCAUCGAGGAUAGAUGAAAGGUGGCCUCUACAUGUAAGCUAUCACUGAAGGAGGGGAUUGCGUCUGAUUAGCUAGUUGGCGGGGUAACGGCCCACCAAGGCGAUGAUCAGUAGCCGGUCUGCGAGGAUGAGCGGCCACACUGGGACUGAGACACGGCCCAGACUCCUACGGGAGGCAGCAGUGGGGAAUCUUCCGCAAUGGACGAAAGUCUGACGGAGAAACGCCGCGUGAGUGAUGACGGCCUUCGGGUUGUAAAGCUCUGUUAAUCGGGACGAAAGGCCUUCUUGCGAAUAGUGAGAAGGAUUGACGGUACCGGAAUAGAAAGCCACGGCUAACUACGUG
RNAcentral lists this ribosomal RNA (510 nucleotides) under uncultured bacterium. Its description in RNAcentral is "partial 16S ribosomal RNA". It matches the Rfam family "Bacterial small subunit ribosomal RNA", at positions 28 to 507 of the family's 1533-position model. The record is from RNAcentral.